Molecule: ribosomal RNA, 502 nt
Filed under: uncultured Pseudomonadales bacterium
Lineage: Bacteria; Pseudomonadati; Pseudomonadota; Gammaproteobacteria; Pseudomonadales
Description: bacterial SSU rRNA
Rfam family: Bacterial small subunit ribosomal RNA
Source: RNAcentral
ACUGGUCUGAGAGGAUGAUCAGUCACACUGGAACUGAGACACGGUCCAGACUCCUACGGGAGGCAGCAGUGGGGAAUAUUGGACAAUGGGCGAAAGCCUGAUCCAGCCAUGCCGCGUGUGUGAAGAAGGCCCUCGGGUCGUAAAGCACUUUAAGCUGGGAGGAAGGGUUGUAACCUAAUACGUUGCAGCUUUGACGUUACCAGCAGAAUAAGCACCGGCUAACUCUGUGCCAGCAGCCGCGGUAAUACAGAGGGUGCAAGCGUUAAUCGGAAUUACUGGGCGUAAAGCGCGCGUAGGUGGCUUGGUAAGUUGAAUGUGAAAUCCCCGGGCUCAACCUGGGAACUGCAUCCAAAACUGCCUGGCUAGAGUACGGUAGAGGGUGGUGGAAUUUCCUGUGUAGCGGUGAAAUGCGUAGAUAUAGGGAGGACACCAGUGGCGAAGGCGACCACCUGGACUGAUACUGACACUGAGGUGCGAAAGCGUGGGGAGCAAACAGGAUUAG